Long non-coding RNA from Oncorhynchus tshawytscha (Chinook salmon), 808 nucleotides. NCBI's taxonomy places the organism in Eukaryota, Metazoa, Chordata, Actinopteri, Salmoniformes, Salmonidae. The record is from Ensembl.
AGGUUUCAUGGAGGGUAUACAGUAGGUCUACAGUAGGUAUGAUGGAGGUUCUACAGUAGGUAUGAUGGAGGGUCUACAGUAGGUAUGAUGGAGGGUAUACAGUAGGUGUGAUGGAGGGACUACAGUAGGUAUAAUGGAGGGUAUACAGUAGGUAUGAUGGAGGCUAUACAGUAGUUAUGAUGGAGGGUAUACAGUAGGGAUGAUGGAGGGUAUACAGUAGGUAUAAUGGAGGGUAUACAGUAGGUAUAAUGGAGGGUAUACAGAAGGUAUGAUGGAGGGUAUACAGUAGGUAUGAUGGAGGGUAUACAUCAGGUAUGAUGGAGGGUAUACAGUAGGUAUGAUGGAGGGUAUACAGUAGGUAUGAUGGAGGGUAUACAGUAGGUAUGAUGGAGUGUAUACUGUAGGUAUGAUGGAGGGUACAUAAGGUAUGAUGGAGUGUAUACAGUAGGUAUGAUGGAGGGUAUACAGUAGGUUUGAUGGAGGGCAUACAGUAGGUAUGAUGGAGGGUAUACAUCAGGUAUGAUGGAGGGUAUACAGUAGGUAUGAUGGAGGGUAUACAGUAGGUAUGAUGGAGGUUAUACAGUAGGUAUGAUGGAGGGUAUACAGUAGGUAUGAUGGAGGGUAAACAGUAGGUAUGAUGGAGGGUAUACAGUAGGUAUGAUGGAGGGUAUGCAGUAGGAAUAAUUGAGGGUUUACAUCAGGUAUGAUGGAGGGUCUACAGUAGGUAGACGGAGGGUAUACAGUAGGUAUGAUGGAGGCUAUACAGUAGGUAUGAUGGAGGGUAUACAGUAGGUAUGAUGGAGGGUAU